Molecule: ribosomal RNA, 237 nt
Filed under: Thyllis philopotoides
Lineage: Eukaryota; Metazoa; Arthropoda; Insecta; Diptera; Acroceridae
Description: partial 28S ribosomal RNA
Rfam family: Eukaryotic large subunit ribosomal RNA
Source: RNAcentral
AUAGAAUAAUGUAGGUAAGGGAAGUCGGCAAAUUAGAUCCGUAACUUCGGGAUAAGGAUUGGCUCUGAAGAUUGAGAUAGUCGGGCUUGAUUGGGAAGCAAUAAUAUGGAUUAUGUACUCGUUCUGGGUAAAUUAGAAAGAAGUUUAUAUUUUAUAUGAAUGGAAUUUGUUCCCCGGAUAGUAGUUUACGUAACCAAUUGCGGAACUUUCUUGCUAAUAAUAUAUUAGAAAGAAGAA